This 30-nucleotide ribosomal RNA is filed under the name Ficus calyptrata. RNAcentral's name for it is "partial 28S ribosomal RNA". Lineage: Eukaryota; Viridiplantae; Streptophyta; Magnoliopsida; Rosales; Moraceae. The record is from RNAcentral.
CAACGCGACCCCAGGUCAGGCGGGGCUACC